CUUUUAUAACACUAGAGGGAAUAGUGUGUAGAGGGAAUGGGGAGUAAUAUGGAGAGACAGGCCGUCUUCUGGGAUUUUGUGAGUUGUGAUAUGAUCUCUCUAUUGAUCCUGAGACUCCACAGAAGUUUAAAAGACACUCCCUUCAUCCUGUCUGUACAGACAAAAAUACCUCAUCUCAAGCUCAUAUUCACCAGCCGUUCUGUGGUCAAUACAGAAGAGAUAGAGCUGCUGAUGACAUCCAUGUUCGAUCCUUGGCUCGCAAUUGCUUUCCCACAAGCUGUCUUCCGGCCUGAAGAAACACUAUCAUUCUGUCCAGCCGAUAUAUCAGCCAGCUACAGAUUUCCAGGCUUUCCACUGGGGCCUCAGAAAGGAAUAGAGUGUAAAAUAGUAGACCCUUUCAAGCCCUUCUUCCUGGAGGGAAAAUCCUGCAUUACAGGGUGUACUGCAUGCAGUAAGCAUGCACGCCUGGUAAAAACAGCCAUGUUUUCUUAUAGGAGGGAGGGAAUUUUUAAACAUUAAGACAAUGGGUAAUGUUGAAUCGUGGCCCAAGUGCACAGCCAGUGAUUAGUGGGUAACUUAACUAUGUCUGACUUCAUCCAGAAUAGCUGUAGUAGGAAGCACUAUGUUCAGUACUGUUUGCAGGUUUGGACCCCCUUAGACCUUUUCGCAGACUGAUUUCUAGUGACUUGAGAACAUUGGGGGGUAUGGACAUGGUUCUGAAUGUACACUCCUCCACAUGGACCUGUACGUAAUGUUUAUAGAGAGAACUUUUCAAAAUGGGGAAAGAUGAUCUUGUGACUGAACUCCACUCAUACUUCGCCAUGCAAUUCCCAGCAAGCUGCUUAAACUCAGCUUGGCAACUGGGAAGGGCAAUAGAUUCCAACUGCAUUGCAUUGUUAUGAGGUUUGAUUCAUUAAUGUCAUUUGCAAACUGCGAGCUCCUAGAGAUGGAAGGGACAAUGCUAAGGUCAAAAUAUUAUUACUUCAUAUUGCUAAGUUUCACAAAUUCCUUGUGAAAGGGAAUUUUCCAUCCCUUUGAGAGGCAUUUGUUCUGAAGCACAAAUGUACUGAGUCUUGGUGGUAGGACUGAACAUGCAUGAGAUUUGAUCUGCCGUGUUUACUCUUGUUUUGCAAUUAACAACACAGCUAUUCCUUAUUAAGUCCCAUGAAUGUCUAGAGGGUAUUAAAAAAGGUCUCU
RNAcentral lists this long non-coding RNA (1197 nucleotides) under Crocodylus porosus (Australian saltwater crocodile). RNAcentral describes it as "lncRNA (ENSCPRG00005005711.1)". The record is from RNAcentral. Lineage: Eukaryota; Metazoa; Chordata; Crocodylia; Crocodylidae.